Molecule: ribosomal RNA, 465 nt
Filed under: uncultured bacterium
Lineage: Bacteria
Description: partial 16S ribosomal RNA
Rfam family: Bacterial small subunit ribosomal RNA
Source: RNAcentral
GACGAACGCUGGCGGCGUGCUUAACACAUGCAAGUCGAACGGAAAGGCCCCUUCGGGGGUCCUCGAGUGGCGAACAGGUGAGUAACACGUGAGUAACCUGCCCUUGACUUCGGGAUAACUUCGGGAAACUGGGGCUAAUACCGGAUAGGAAUCCUUGCUGCAUGGUGGGGGUUGGAAAGCUUCGGCGGUUUUGGAUGGACUCGCGGCUUAUCAGCUUGUUGGUGGGGUAGUGGCUUACCAAGGCUUUGACGGGUAGCCGGCCUGAGAGGGCGACCGGCCACAUUGGGACUGAGAUACGGCCCAGACUCCUACGGGAGGCAGCAGUGGGGAAUAUUGCACAAUGGGCGGAAGCCUGAUGCAGCAACGCCGCGUGCGGGAUGACGGCCUUCGGGUUGUAAACCGCUUUCAGCAGGGGCGAAGCUUGUGGUGACGGUACCUGCAGAAGAAGCACCGGCUAACUACGUG